AUACUUGUUUUAUCACAAAACAUGUGAAUGAGUGAAUGUCGUCUCAUACUGCAGUCAGCAAUAUUGCAGCCAUAUGAAGGCAGCCUGUAAACCAGUAAUUGAUACACACACCAUCCUAGUACAUAAAACAUUCGCUCUCCAUGCCUAUUUAUGGUGUCCCCGUCGUGAUUUUGCUGGGAUAUUGCCAAAAGAUGCGUAAAUCCAUGCUCUCUCAAUUCAACAUGCCAUGCCUUGACAGACAAAACGAAAUACAAAAUAUAACAUUUAUACUUACAAUUUUGCAAUGCAGUGUGCUUCAUCAAUGAAAAUUGCCAUCAAAAUCUUCUCUUUAGUCAGGCUGUGUUCCAAGAACUGUCUCUGGACUUGCAAAUAUUAUUAUGUCAGUGUCAGGGUGAAAAAACCGUCACAGUAGCAUGGUUGGAGUUAUUAAGUUUCUUAAACACGAAUGGUGCUAAUUCAAAAGUAAGUGAUUUUCCUGAUCCUGUUGGAGAAAAAAAAGGACAUCCUUGUCUUUGAUGAUUCCUGAAGUGAUCAAUUAUGUAACUGCAUUACCUUCCAUACCAACAGUUAUACAUGUAGUUAAGUUAAAUAGAGGGCGUAUAUACUUAAAACACAACAUCAAUCCUUUGUUCCGUUCAGCAGUGUGUCAGAUUCGUGAUGGCUAGCUUGAGGUGGCUAGACUUGCUUUUUGUAUGCAUUACUAGAUUCUUUUUUUAAAUGAAAUAAAUAUAUUCCACGGUCAUUGGUGCAGGACUAAUUGUGUAUAUCACCUGAAUUUUGGUCAAUACCUGAAAUACUCAGUCGCCAAUACAGCCCCUAUUUCAUAUAAGGUUAUGAAAAUACAUGUCGGUUGGAGCCUGAAGCCUGAAGUAGAAUUUAGGUUAUUACACGGAUGAUAUACAUGUAAGGCCGAAAAUUGAUGAACUUCUUUAUUAUGAAGAACACAAUGUUUGGGACUAAUAUCAUUAGUUGAAGGAGUAAGUAUUACACCCAAACGUUCUGUUCCACACAAUGCGUUUCACUUCUGAAUGUUUUUCUAAGAGUUGAUACAUACACUUGCCUUGUAUAUAUGGUUGAUGCACGUCGAGUGUCUCAGAAACGCGGGAUCUGCAGGUAUUAGAGCUGAAUACAGUUGUGAUUUGACGAAUUCUUUUUCUUCUGACUCUUCCUCUUAUUUCGUUUUUCAGCUUAGCAUUGUGUAUACACAACGUAAUUAACGGAUUCUGACAUCAGCCACAUAUCUCGGACCACCCCACGAGUCUCUCUUAACCGUUCAAUUAACGUUCCGCUUGGUGUUGCCACACCUGUCCGCCAUCUGCUGUUGAGAUACUGUAACGGUUCUCGUCUGAAAAGAGGACUUCUCCCACUGCUGGUGCUGUGCUACCCACUGAAGACGGUCCAGGAAACAAAGAAGAAGACUGAAAGGAUACCACUGGGAGUGCUUCAGUGAGGACCUCAGUGACCGUUCUCCAUCACAGUAGGUGCUCAGCGGAGGGGACUACCUCACCCUUGAGAGGCAGAAACAAGCCAAUCAUGCACUUACGAGAUGGACCUACACCAAGUUCCAGAUUACAAGGACUUGUUCCAAAGAUGGAAGAGUUCCAUAACGAAGCUGAAUUUCUAAAGGUUAUAUGGAAACACUUGUACUCGUCCUCCUCUAACAAGUCUGUUUGGCACUCUGCAUGCUGCAAAGGAGCACAAUAAAUGCGGUGAAUGUUACUCAGGAUCCUCAUGACAACUUUUACCCAUGCUCUGAAUUCAUGGACAAGGUCACCACCGCCUACAUCGUAACUGGGGGACUACAUUACUUCCAAAUGGAACACCUCACUUCUGUCCCAACGUCAAGUUACAUGGGUGCUGUUGGCAAUCCAUAUAAAAUGAUUGAUUAUUUUCUAGGUCAUGCAGCAAAACAGUUUGUAGACAAGCACGUCUUACCGGAGGUUCCUCAACAGCCAGGUCAUGGUCUCCAAAUCAAACACACUAGCCUGCAGGUACUGUGGAAAACUGUACCAGAGACCAAAAGCUCUCCGCAAACACGAAGCAUCCGGAAUAUAAUGCUGAAAACAAUCAGGAUUCCACAUCUUCAGCAGAAUCAAGAUCAUCUAUUUAUCAGUACACCCGUCUGUCUCUCAUGCUUGGGCUUCUUCGAAUAAAUCACAACGAUUCCAUUCACAUGGGAGAUGGUGGCAGGCAUGAUGAGACUAGUAAAGUGGUUCUGUUUAUAAGGCAAGCAAAUGUCUCCUUUGAAACACAGGCAAAGGCAUAUGCUCUCCUAUAUGAACGGCAGGCUUUAUAGAUUGAUAUGGAACCGCACAGUCAACCAUCAAGGCAGAGAAGACACCAAUCAUCCCAUCGACCUUGACUUGGAGCAUUGCAACAGGGCUUUCAAAGAUGAUGUACACACAUACAAGGGGAGGUACACAGAUAAAAGACGAUUCUCAAAGUCAGCAGAAGUGCGCUGUCAAUGGAAGAAUUAUGCCAAAAAUACGACAAAUUGGCAUUCCGCUAGAAAAGUUCGGGAAGGCAUGGAGUUGUUGAUCCUUCUUGGUGAUAUUCUUAAACUUGUAGAACAAUUCCAUUCCUAUGCAGCUCUAUUCAAUGAGGCCAACAAGCCACUGCCACAGAGAAAUCAAAAACAUGCCGAGUGACAUCCAAAAUUGGAUUUCAGAAAGUCUUAAAGUCUUCAGUAGCCGCACAUACUAUAACAUCUGAACCUUUUUUCCCGAUGUGUAAUUCAGUGUCACAUGAUUAAAACGAGACCCUGUUGCAAAGUCGCUAUCACUGUAUGUUUCAUGAUCUUCAUGUUCUGAGUCUGAGUGAGAUGAUGAGCUAUCACUCGAGUCAAGGGAAGUUUUGUACAACUCAAGAAUAUCACAUCUACAUUCACUACAUGGGGUAUUGCAUGUCCAUGAGUCUCUGCAGUCACCGAGACACUUGCAAGAUAUGGCACAGUUGUCCAUAGCACUCAUGA
RNAcentral lists this long non-coding RNA (2971 nucleotides) under Haliotis rufescens (red abalone). RNAcentral's name for it is "uncharacterized LOC124125315". The record is from RNAcentral. Lineage: Eukaryota; Metazoa; Mollusca; Gastropoda; Lepetellida; Haliotidae.